This 253-nucleotide ribosomal RNA is filed under the name uncultured bacterium. RNAcentral describes it as "partial 16S ribosomal RNA". It matches the Rfam family "Bacterial small subunit ribosomal RNA", at positions 524 to 776 of the family's 1533-position model. The record is from RNAcentral.
UACGUAGGGGGCAAGCGUUGUCCGGAAUCAUUGGGCGUAAAGAGCGUGUAGGCGGCUCGGUAAGUCCGCUGUGAAAGUCCAGGGCUCAACCCUGGAAUGCCGGUGGAAACUGUCGAGCUAGAGUCCGGAAGAGGCGAGUGGAAUUCCUGGUGUAGCGGUGAAAUGCGCAGAUAUCAGGAGGAACACCAGCGGCGAAGGCGGCGCUCUGGGCCGGUACUGACACUGAGGAGCGAAAGCGUGGGGAUCAAACAGG